CCGGAAUCCGGCCCCGGUCACGUUCCGACCGAACCAGGGACCGUGGGCGAGAUUCCGCCCCCCGCCCGGCCUCGGAGCCCGGCAAACUAAGCCACUGCUCUGAAAGGAAAAGCCUUUUGCUUGUGGUUGGGCACAUUCCACUUCCUCUUCCAAAUAGCACCUCCACAGCCCCUAACUCUGCUCUCUUCAGUUGCCAGCAGAUGGAAAGCAAGUAGGGUGUGGAAACAGAGUAGUAUGUUAUUGUGCGAGCCUGGCUGUGUCGCUGGAGAAUGAGGAGCAGAUAAAGUUCAGAGUUAUUUACAGUCACCUCUGCAGCUCCCUCUCCCCUGUCAUUUGAGAACAUUACUGUGGUAACUCCAGCAGGGGCCACAGUAGGAAAGCUGUGAAUUUGCUGCUGGGAGGAAGUAGGACAGGCAGAUUGAUGAUUCCCGGGGAACAGGAGCAGGUGUGCUGUGGACCAAGAGAGAUGCACCAAGGAGGCAUAGGGUGAAUCCUGUUGGAGAGCUCCGGAAGCAGCUUCAAGGACAAGCACUGUCACAGCUCUUGUCUUCCUGUGGCAGAGCACAUGAAAAUAUGAGCCGCAAACCUCCAUCUUUGGCUGCUGAAGGGGGAGGGAGAGGGGAAGAGAUCGAUGGCCAAGGCAUAUUUGGACCGAUGUUCAGCUGCAAGAGAUGUGAUGGGAGUGUACAGUUAAAACUAAAGGGUUAGGUGGGU
This is a long non-coding RNA of Chelonoidis abingdonii (Abingdon island giant tortoise), 714 nucleotides long. RefSeq lists it as uncharacterized. The record is from RefSeq and is a predicted model, not a curated record. NCBI's taxonomy places the organism in Eukaryota, Metazoa, Chordata, Testudines, Testudinidae.